Microcebus murinus (gray mouse lemur) is the source of this 7976-nucleotide non-coding RNA. Lineage: Eukaryota; Metazoa; Chordata; Mammalia; Primates; Cheirogaleidae. The record is from RefSeq and is a predicted model, not a curated record.
CGAUAGAUUUUCAAGACCGAUAGGAUGACAGUCUUCUAUUGGAAGAUGUUAUCCGGGAGUUUCAUAGAUAGCAGUCAGUCCCUGGCUUCAAAGCGCAGGCUGACUGUCUUGUUAGGAGCUAAUGCUGCCGGUGACUUUAAGCUGAAGCUAAGGCUCAUUUACCAUUCUAAAAAUCUUAGGGCCCUUAGGAAUUAUGCUAAAUCUUUUCUGCCAGUGUUCUGUAAAUGGAACGACAAAGCGUGAAUGACAGCACAUCUGUUUUACGGCAUGGAUACUGAAUAUUUGAACCCCACUAUUGAGACCUGCUCAGAAAAACAGAUUCCUUUUAGAAUGUUGCUGCUCAUUGACAAUGUACCUGGUCACCCAAAUACUCUGAUGGAGAUGUGCAAGGUGGUUAAUGUUUUCACGCCUCCUAACUCAACAUGCAUUCUGCAGCCCGUGGCUUAAGGAGUAAUUUCAGCGUUUAAGUCUCAUUUAAGAAAUACAUUUCAUAAGGGCUGUAGCUGCCGCAGAGCAUGUUUCCUCUGAUGGAUCUGGGCAAAGUCAACUGAAAACCUUCUGGAAAGGAUUCACCAUUCUCGAUGCCAUUAAAAACAUUGAUGAUUCAUAGGAGGAGGUCAGAGUGUAUCAGUAUGAUCAGGAGUUUGAAAGAAGUGGAUUCCGACCCUCAGGGAUGACUUAGAGAGAGAGGGGUUCAGACUUCAGCAGAGAAAGGAACUGCUGGGGUGGUGGAAAUAGCAAGAGAUCUAGAAUUAGAAGUGGAGCCUGAAGAUGACUGAAUCACUCUACAGUGUACAGUGACUGAAUCACUGUAGUCUCAUGAUAAAACUUGAACACAUAAGGAGUUGCUUUCUUCUGGAUGAGCAAAGAAAGCGGUUUUUUGAGGUGGAAUGUACUCCUGGUGAAGAUACUAUGAACACUGUUGAAAUGACCACAAAGGAUUUGGAAUAUUCCGUAAACUUAGUUGAUAAAACAGCGGCAGGGUUUGAGAGCAUUGACUCCAGUUUCCAAAAAACUUUUACUGUGGGUAAAAUGCUAUCAAACAAUGUCUUACACUGCAGAGAAACCUUUCACGAAAGGAAAAGUCAAUUGAUACGGCAGACUUCAUCGUUCCCUUAUUUUAAGAAAUUGCCGUAGCCACCCCAACCUUUGGCAACCACCACCCUGAUCAGUCAGCAGCCACCAACAUCGAGGCAAGACCCUCUGCCAGCAGAAAGAUUGCAACUCCCUGAAGUCUCAGAUGAUGGUUAGCAUAUUUUAGCAAUAAAAUAUUUUUAAAGUAAGAUUAUACACAUUUUUUAAAGUACAAUGCUAUGGUACACUUAAUUGACUAUAGUAUAGUGUGACCAUAACUUUUAUAUGCAUUGGGGAACCAAAAAAAAAUUCAUGUGCUUUAGUUUAAUAUUUGCUUUUUAUUGUGGUGGUCUGGAACCUAAGGGACACUUUUGCUGAGGUAUGCCUGUAUUUAGGGGCACACCCUAUAUAAACGGGAAGGCUGCCUGUUAAGUGUUUACUCCCCAUUUGAUAUCUCAAGUGAUUUGAGAUGAUUAAUUGAGAGAGGGUGCUGAUUUCAGAUGUCAAAAAACUCCCACAACACUUAGGGUUUAUCUAUAAAAUCUCAGCGCAGAAAUACACAAACAUCAAUAUUGAAGUGAUAGAAUUUUAUUUGAAAACACCACUGUGUGCUAGGCACUGUGCAUAACCUCUUUUAUUUCAGAGUAAUUGGGAUCGUAUUUUAAAUUAAAGCAUCAUAAACAAAAAAUUCAUUUCUUCACUCAGUAGUAUUCUUAGAAUAUACUUACAGAUUUUAAAUUUGAAUACCGGAUUCUUUUGAAGUGUUAUGCAAGUAUGACAGGUGACUUUUAAAAGGAUUUACUUUUUUUUUGCUUGUCAGUAUAGAUAAGAAACGAUAUAAAGUUGUUUAGAUUUAAGAACUCUGUGUUGCUGAUUAAACAGAGGUUGUCAUUUUUGUCCACAUAUUAGAAUCGCCUGAGUAAUUUUUUAAAAACAGUGAUACCUAGGUCCCUCUCUGAUCAGUUAAGUUAGACUCUCUGAAGGUGGAGACUAAACAUCUUUGGUUUUUUUCUUGCACGGCGGAGGGUGAGGAUUUGGGCCUUUUAUAUCAUACAUUUUGUGUGGCUCCUGAAGAACAGUGUUCAUCCAUUGUAGUUACAUUCACUCACUUGAACUACAGAAACUACAAUCAUGAGUUUGUUCAACACAUAUUUUAAGGUCUGCUGUGUAUCAGGCAUGAUUGCCCAAUACCUGCUCGGAGAGACUUGAUCCUUCCUCCUGAAGUUUAUAUUUUUUGUUUUUUUUGCAAAAGAUUGAGUCUUUUCAGCAUCUGAAUGCACCACUAACAGGGUCAUCUCAUUUUAUCAACAAAUUUAACCUAAGUUUUGGAUCUGGCCUAGGUUUUCCAAAUAUAUUCAUAGAGCUUGACACUUUCUCUUACUUUCAGAUUUUGUUAAAAACAAAAAAAAAUUUUUUUUUGUUUCUCCUCAACAUUCUGUAUUUGGAUUAAUUCACUGUUUCCAGCAGCCCAGUCCCACUGGUGCUCCUCUUAUAGUGCUCUUUUGCCAUUUCUCCAAGGAAUUAUUUUUGUAUACCUGUUAUAUAAAAGAAACAAAUAGUUCAUAGCUUUUCGAUUUCUAGAACCCUGAGCUUCAAAGUUAAAACCAAACAGCAUUUCUUGUUUGGAAAAAUGUGUUUAACACUAUGGAAGAAGUGGUAGCUGAGCAGGUAAUAUCGGUUAAGCCAUGGUGAUACUGUUUAAAAGUAAACCUGUCAUUCAAGAAUGAAAGAUGUGAAAUUAUUCAGGUUUUUUUUACCUGUUGUGCUUCGAACAGAGUAUAAAUGUGACAAUCUCUUUCGCAUCUUCAUACCAGUCUCUUCCUUGCCCACCAAUAAUUAUCUAAAAUCUUGAUAUAUAGAGCGUGAACACCAGGGAUAGAAUGCACAUUCAAUUAGGCAGGAGGCUCUUUGCUGACCUAAAUAACAGUUCAUUCAUGAGAUAAUGUGGCCCGCAGUCAGAUAAAAAUCUGUGGCUUGAGUUGGGAUAAACCUGGCAUAGUAUAGACUCUGCAGUGAACAGAGAAUCGUCUAAAAUUAGUGCAGGCAGAAAAAUACUGCAGAAACUUUGCAGGCCUGGUCUUGAUUUCAGGAGUAUUUCUUUCUCAAGAUAUGUGUGUACUUUGUCACCUAAACUCUUCCUGGUAAUCCUUUAAUGCUCAUUUUUUUUUUUUUACUAGUGCAGGGUGCCUUGCUAUCAAAGGAAUUGAGCAGUUAAACAAUUUAUGUAUUUUAAGGCUGAUGUUCCAUGCAUAACUUAGAGAGCUCACCUUCUGUCUCAUCUUUGGAGGGGGUGGUCAGUGUAUCUUGGGAAUUUGGGGUAGCCACAGAUUUGGUGACCAUGGUCAUCACCAAAACAUCAGUACCUGUCUGACAAGUUAAUACUGUUAAUACUGUUUUACAUAAGCAAGUGUUUGCGUUGUUCGUGAUACUUCACUUUUCGGAAGUGUGAGAUUAUCAUCUUGUUCCCUUAGGUUUCUUCCAGUAGAUCUGAGGGUAAAAUCCUAUACUGCUGAAGGGAAAUUCUAGACCACUGAAAUGACUUCACAUGCUUUUUGGAAAGAUAUGGGUAGAAAUAAAUUCAAUGUACAAGCUAGUGUAUUCACAGGGCAUAAUCUCAUGUGAUGGUUAGAGGCUUCCUGGAUCAUUUGAGUCAUAAAGGGCUUCAUUCAUUGUUUUUUGAUUUAUCUGUGUCAAAAUGGGCAAGGGUGUUGUUUUCCUUUUCUAACCAGUAAGAAAAAACUUAAAGGAAAUUUAAAAUAUUAAGUUCAAGCCUGAGCAGAGUAUGAUGGCACACCUAUAGUCCAAGCUCCUUGGGAGGCUGAGGGGAGAGGAUGGCUUGAGCCCAGGAGUUUGAGGCUGCAGUGGACUGUGUUCUGGCCACCACACUCCAGCCUGGGUGACAGAGAGAGACACUGUCUUUAAAAAUUCAGUCUUUAUUUAUUGAAGAUAUGUUUAUGGGGCAUCAGUAAAAUAUGACAAACCCCCCUGUCCUUGUAGAGUGAACAGUGCCGUUGGGGGAAAUAGAAAAUAGAUGCUAAAUAUAACAAAUAUAAAUAUAACCUUUGUAAGAAGAUGCCAUGGGUGGGGGAUGGUUAGCAGGGUAAGGGGAAUUGGGACCACCAAAUUUGGGGUGGGGUGGGGAGAAUCACAUUUUAAAUAGGAUAUCAGGGUGGGCUUUAUCCAGGAGGAGUAAUUGGAAGAAAACCAGGAAGCAGAUAAAGAAUUGAGCCGUGUGGUUUAAUUGUGUGGGGAUAGAGCAGUCCAGACAGAAGGAGAUCCAGUGGAAAUGCCGUGUAAAGCAGAGGUGCACCUUUCGUGUUGGAGGAGGAGCCGAAAGCCAGCAUGGCAGGUGCAGGGGGAGUUGGGGAGGAGUAGCAAGAGAUAAGGCCGUGGACCGUGGAGGUGAAGGGGGUCCAAACCAUGCCGGGCCUUGGAGAGAUUUAGCUUUGCUCUCAGUGGCGUGGAAUGCACUUGGAAGUAUGAUAUUUGAGCAGAGGAAGGACUGAUCUGGCUUCACUAUGCACUUUGCCAUUCAUCAGAUGUUUGAUAAUUACUCUGUCCCGCCCCUAAACUGCAUACCUCUGUUGGAACCACAUACUCAUUCCUUCAUGUUUUUCUCUCUCAAAAUUAUAGCGGUAGCUAACACUUGCUGUGUUGGGUAUUCUGCCGGUUCCUGUACAUUGAUUAACCCCCUGACCCUUACAACAGCUUUGAAUAGUAGAUGAUGUUAUCUCCAUUUUUAUAGGUGUGGAGACUGGGAGAUCAUAAAUGACGUAGGCAAGGACCUUGGGCCACACAAGUGGCAGUCCAUGCAGGCCCAGGCAGCGGUCUCCUAAUUGUUGAGGAAGGCAGGCGCGACUCGGGCUUGAGUGGUACGUUGAACAAACAGCCGCAGCUGAUGCUGGAUGUCCUCCCUCACCACUGCGACCAGUGGUGGAAGACGUUGCUGGGUUGUAAACACAACACCCAGAGUGAUGGUUUUCUUCGGUGCGUAGUAACCAUCCUGUGGCGUGAUGGAUAUUCUUGCCUACAGGUAGCAAUUAUGACGAGGGAGUUGAAUUUGCAACUUCUGCUUCACUCUCACUUCCCUCCAACAUCCAGUUAUUAGUUGUUUAAUGUCACUCUAACCUUUUUAUGGCUAUCAAUGAAGUCGUCUCAUGAAUUUGCUGUUGCAUUUCGAAAGGCGGAACCUGGGCCUCUAAUACAAAUGUAUGAGAUGAAAUAAGUGCUAAGUAGGAAGCCAUUACAGCCUCUUAUGAGAGUGCGUAAAUGUGUACAUGUGUGACAGAUUUAAAAACACUGGGCUUAUUUUAAGUCAUUAUGUUUUAUGGAAACAAGCAUUCUGAUAGCCAGUGAAAAUAUAUUUUUGGAGUGCUGGUAAAAGGCAAAUCCCCUGUUGGGGAACUUUCUUUCUGAAUUUGCUGAGUACAACUUGCUUGCCACAUGUGUAACAUCUAUAAUACGUCGCUCUUAUUAAUAUAUUGGGGCUGACUUUCUGUGUUCUGGGGAAAAUGAAAAUGCAUCUCAGUGCCCGUGUGGCAUAUAUUCUACUUUUAAAUAAGAUUCUACAUGCAAGGCAGGGAGAGUGCGAGCUAUUCGAGAAAAACAAAGACAAAACAAAACAAAACAAAAACCCCCUGCAGACAAACCAAAUCUAAAUAUUGAUUUAAUUGAAUGAUAGCUCUUUAGACAAUAUUACUUAAUACCCGCUGUUUCGCAAGCAAGAAUCUCCAUGUUCUGGAUAGUUGUAAAAAGACUAGAACAUGCUUCCCUUGUGUGUUUCAGUAGACAGAAUAGAAGGUUAGAGUCAGAUAAGGCAUGAAUUUAAAUCUCUCUCUCCCUAUUUAUUGGUUCCGUGACCUUUGGCAAGUUAUUUAACCUUCUAAAUCCCAAUCUCCCAUCUGUAAAGUGAAAAUAGUAAUACUCCGUUUGCAAGAUUUUGAGAAUUAAAAAAGAACAAUAAAUGACCCCUUCAGGUACUUUGGAAAUACUUAUUUCACUGUUGUCAAGGAUCACGCAGUAAGGGGAUGGAUGAAAAUAUGUGAUGAUCCCGUAGGAAAAAAAUUAUGAAGCAAUAAUGGACAGUCUCUGCCCAUUACUACAGUCAUUUCACAUAAUGUGGCGAUAAAAACAGAACUGAAUUGGUGUCUGUUUCCCUAAGGUUUCACACUGAGAACCUACUGUGUGCCAUGCUUGAUUCCAUAUACUGAGUACACUGGAGACCGAAAUCAUAGUCCUUGUCCUCUUAAUCCUUACAGUUUUGUGACAGAGCAGACAUUGAUUAAAUACUCACACUGAUCAGACUAAUAAAUGUCAAAUCAGAAUUGUGCUUAGUGUUAGGAAAGAGAAGAAAAUGUUAUGAAACUCUGUAAUAGGCAAGUUUGACCUAAUUAGGGAGAUCCAGAAAACCUUCCCAGGAAUUUCUUAUUUGAGACAUCUUAACUGCUCUUAAGGGUUAACUAGUUCAUAAAUUUUAUCUUUCCUAGAGGUCUUCCAAGGAACAAAGAGAAAAUUUACUAAUUUCUUUUAUGGCACAAAACAACUCAUUCUGUCUUACCAUUGCCAUAUGGUUCCGUUGGACCCUUUUAUACUUAUGAAAUACAUUGUGUAUAAAGAUACAGAUCUUUUCUGUAUCUUAAAAUGUUUUCCUGUUUCAUCAUCUGAGGACUUAGUUCAUCCUUGCUCAUCAAUACUCCCAGCCAUGCUAAAGAAAAAAAAAAAAGUAAAAAAGCAAAGAAUGUUGGAAUCAUCUGUAAGGAUGAUGUAAUAGUGAAAUAAAUGCUCAUUAUUAUGUAAUCCUUAAGUUUUCUUAUUGUAUUACCCACAGUUUUGUAUCAUCUUUCAAGAAGGUAUAAAAGAUAUCUGGAGAUAAUCAUCUUUUAUCUAAAUUUUAAACAAUCUUUAAUCCAACACAGUUGAGAAUUCAGAGUUUUAUGUUUUUUCCCAUGGUCGCAAAGAGAAGAAAACUGAUAGAGGACAAAAUCUCACAAUUACUGCGUGAUUCAGAACAUAAAUGUGAAAAGACAGAAGCACUCUAGACUCCCAUGAUAAUGGUGAAGUUGGUCGUAUAAGUGAAAUCUCAAAGUGAUUCUUCAGAUGAAGACAUCCUGGAUGAGUGCUCCUCAACUCAGGAAUCAAUUCGUCAAUAACACACUUCGAAAGACAAAAAGGAAAUACAGUAUUUUUAUCCAGUUAGUCAUUCAGUAGGAAGUACUUCAUUGUGCAACAUUUUGCAGUGAAAAACGUGGAUCAUCCUGUUUGUGCUGAAAGGAUAAGUGACAGUAUUCUUUCAUCUUUUAAGAUGGUUGAUGCCAGACAUGUACUUCAUGUGGUUCAUAAAUGGAAAAUGCCAAGUGUGUAUACGAAGGUGGUUGGAAGGAAUAUAUGACGUACGAAUGAAAUAAUCAUUGGAUUGUCAUUCUCAUUGAUUUUGCUAAAUCCAAGUGAAAUUGUUCUUUGAUUAUUAAGCUAGGAGGAAGAUGGCUAUCCUCUUGUAAGUAAAGUUAUGAGCCAUCAAAAUUUUCAAAGACACUUCAUUUUUAUAUUAGAAGUGCAAGCAGAACCAGCAUUAAUUAGAAUCUGUUAGAGAUGAAACCUGGAAUUGACAUGUGCAGAGUGGGUGUUCAGCAGGCAGAAUGGGAGGGAAGAGAAUAUCAGGUAGAGGGAACAAGACAUGCAAAGACCCUGAGGUAGGAGAGAGAAUGCUUCACUGGAGGGACUAAGGGAAGGCUCACGUGGCUGGAAUGCAGGGAGAGCGGACUGCAGGAUGAGUCUGUACAAGGAAGCAGGCACAUGUGACCAAGCACUUUGUAUGCACGUUGAGAAUUUACGCCCAGAUCCUAAAAGCAAGAGAAGCCAUCAGAGGAUUUUAAGCAGAGGGGCAGGCUUGGAUUUCAAAAAAA